RNAcentral lists this ribosomal RNA (117 nucleotides) under Vibrio parahaemolyticus. RNAcentral describes it as "partial 16S ribosomal RNA". It matches the Rfam family "Bacterial small subunit ribosomal RNA", at positions 1 to 108 of the family's 1533-position model. The record is from RNAcentral. Lineage: Bacteria; Pseudomonadati; Pseudomonadota; Gammaproteobacteria; Vibrionales; Vibrionaceae.
CUUAAAUUGAAGAGUUUGAUCAUGGCUCAGAUUGAACGCUGGCGGCAGGCCUAACACAUGCAAGUCGAGCGGAAACGAGUUAUCAGAACCUUCGGGGAACGAUAGCGGCGUCGAGCG